Molecule: ribosomal RNA, 245 nt
Filed under: uncultured Actinomycetales bacterium
Lineage: Bacteria; Bacillati; Actinomycetota; Actinomycetes; Actinomycetales
Description: partial 16S ribosomal RNA
Rfam family: Bacterial small subunit ribosomal RNA
Source: RNAcentral
UGCUCGAGUGGCGAACGGGUGAGUAACACGUGAGUAACCUGCCCUUGACUUUGGGAUAACUUCAGGAAACUGGGGCUAAUACCGGAUAGGAGCUCCUGCUGCAUGGUGGGGGUUGGAAAGUUUCGGCGGUUGGGGAUGGACUCGCGGCUUAUCGGCUUGUUGGUGGGGUAGUGGCUUACCAAGGCUUUGACGGGUAGCCGGCCUGAGAGGGUGACCGGCCACAUUGGGACUGAGAUACGGCACAG